This 758-nucleotide unclassified non-coding RNA is filed under the name Hevea brasiliensis (rubber tree). Lineage: Eukaryota; Viridiplantae; Streptophyta; Magnoliopsida; Malpighiales; Euphorbiaceae. The record is from RNAcentral.
GUAACUUCUAAAAUAGUGUAAUUCGAUUGCGGGAAAUGUUAUAAAUAACAAAAACAACACAUUUACGUACAAAAGGUAUUACAGAAAAUAACAUCGGGAACCAAAAAAAAAAGGACCUUUUUAUUGACGAAAUUACCCUCAACUCACAUCACGUGGUUGAUACAAUAUCAGCCUUUUCCCCAAGUCAUCAACUACUCGCCGGAAUGUCCAAAAGCGGUCACCGAUCGAUUAAUCUCCCGGCUAUCCCGAUGUACGAAAUUCUGUAACUAUAACUACAUUAGAUAUAAAUAGAAACUUGAAAUUUGUAGUUUCAGAUGGUACAUCCACAGAAAAGGAAGAAAAAACCGAGCAUAGAGACGAGAGCAAUAGAUUCAACGACGGAGAUGAUAGACCAGACAAUAGAGUCAACGAUGUUGAAAGGCAAGUCAAGGCCCGGCCAUGACCACCGCCGAGGGGAGGAGGCCGAAACGACGCCGUCGUGGCUUCUCGAACUCCCAUUCGGCGUGAAAUACGAAGUGAACAUCGUCGGCCACCGCAUAAAGGACGUCGGAAGUGAAAACCUCAGUCCGAUCCACCUGAAAGAUGACGUGGAGGACCGGAGCCACCCUGACUCCGCCAUUUAUCUGGUUUGUUUUUUUCUUUGAGAUAUUGUUAAUUGGCGGAAGGGAAUAUAAUAUUUUGAUUAUUAUACUCUUUGUCACAACUUACAAGAGGUUCUACCAAGUUUUAAAGUUGGGGGAUCUAUAUAUAGAAAAAAC